GUAAUGCAGCUCAAUGGUAGAAUGCUUGCCUAGCAUGCAAGAGGCCCAGGGUCCAAUUCCUAGCUACA
RNAcentral lists this transfer RNA (68 nucleotides) under Marmota monax (woodchuck). Its description in RNAcentral is "tRNA.Ala". The record is from RNAcentral. Lineage: Eukaryota; Metazoa; Chordata; Mammalia; Rodentia; Sciuridae.